UGCCCUUGUAGCUCAAUUGGCAGAGCAACUGACUCUUAAUCAGUAGGUUCUAGGUUCGAUUCCUAGCGGGGGCAU
RNAcentral lists this transfer RNA (75 nucleotides) under Gimesia aquarii. RNAcentral's name for it is "Planctomycetes bacterium V144 tRNA-Lys". It matches the Rfam family "tRNA". From Rfam's summary of the family: Transfer RNA (tRNA) molecules are approximately 80 nucleotides in length. The record is from RNAcentral. Lineage: Bacteria; Pseudomonadati; Planctomycetota; Planctomycetia; Planctomycetales; Planctomycetaceae.